RNAcentral lists this ribosomal RNA (337 nucleotides) under uncultured Anaerolineaceae bacterium. Its description in RNAcentral is "bacterial SSU rRNA". It matches the Rfam family "Bacterial small subunit ribosomal RNA", at positions 1031 to 1382 of the family's 1533-position model. Lineage: Bacteria; Bacillati; Chloroflexota; Anaerolineae; Anaerolineales; Anaerolineaceae. The record is from RNAcentral.
AUUACAGGUGUUGCAUGGCUGUCGUCAGCUCGUGUCGUGAGAUGUCGGUUAAGUCCGCUAACGAGCGCAACCCUCGCUGUGUGUUAUAUGUGUCACACAGGACUGCUGGUAUUAAGCCGGAGGAAGGUGGGGACGACGUCAAGUCAGCAUGACCUUUAUAUCCAGGGCUACACACACGCUACAAUGGUCAGUACAAUGGGUUGCCAAGCCGCGAGGCGGAGCCAAUCCUAAAAAGCUGGCCUCAGUUCAGAUUGCAGUCUGAAACUCGACUGCAUGAAGUCGGAGUUGCUAGUAAACGCAGGUCAGCUAUACUGCGUUGAAUACGUUCCCGGGGCUU